RNAcentral lists this ribosomal RNA (796 nucleotides) under uncultured archaeon. RNAcentral describes it as "bacterial SSU rRNA". It matches the Rfam family "Archaeal small subunit ribosomal RNA", at positions 85 to 879 of the family's 1478-position model. The record is from RNAcentral.
ACUGCUCAGUAACACGUGGAUAACCUGCCCUUGGGUCCGGCAUAACCCCGGGAAACUGGGGAUAAUUCCGGAUAACGCACAUAUGCUGGAAUGCUUUAUGCGUAAAAUGGAUUCGUCUGCCCGAGGAUGGGUCUGCGGCCUAUCAGGUAGUAGUGGGUGUAAUGUACCUACUAGCCUACGACGGGUACGGGUUGUGAGAGCAAGAGCCCGGAGAUGGAUUCUGAGACAUGAAUCCAGGCCCUACGGGGCGCAGCAGGCGCGAAAACUUUACAAUGCGGGAAACCGUGAUAAGGGGACACCGAGUGCCAGCAUCCUAUGCUGGCUGUCCGGGUGUGCAAAAUACACCUGUUAGCAAGGGCCGGGCAAGACCGGUGCCAGCCGCCGCGGUAACACCGGCGGCCCGAGUGGUGAUCGUGAUUAUUGGGUCUAAAGGGUCCGUAGCCGGUUUGGUCAGUCCUCCGGGAAAUCUGACAGCUUAACUGUUAGGCUUUCGGAGGAUACUGCCAGACUUGGAACCGGGAGAGGUAAGAGGUACUACAGGGGUAGGAGUGAAAUCUUGUAAUCCCUGUGGGACCACCUGUGGCGAAGGCGUCUUACCAGAACGGGUUCGACGGUGAGGGACGAAAGCUGGGGGCACGAACCGGAUUAGAUACCCGGGUAGUCCCAGCCGUAAACGAUGCUCGCUAGGUGUCAGGCAUGGCGCGACCGUGUCUGGUGCCGCAGGGAAGCCGUGAAGCGAGCCACCUGGGAAGUACGGCCGCAAGGCUGAAACUUAAAGGAAUUGGCGGGGGAGCAC